CCUACGGGGGGCGGCAGUGGGGAAUAUUGCGCAAUGGGGGAAACCCUGACGCAGCAACGCCGCGUGAAGGAUGAAGGUUUUCGGAUUGUAAACUUCUUUGAUGAGGGACGAAUAAUGACGGUACCUCAAAAACAAGCCACGGCUAACUACGUGCCAGCAGCCCCGGUC
Molecule: ribosomal RNA, 168 nt
Filed under: uncultured bacterium
Lineage: Bacteria
Description: partial 16S rRNA
Rfam family: Bacterial small subunit ribosomal RNA
Source: RNAcentral